UGGCAGGAAGGAGAGGGAGAAGCAGACUCCCCAUGGAGCAGGGAGCCAGACGUGGGGCUCCAUCCCAGGACCCCGGGAUCAUGCCCUGAGCCGAAGGCAGAUGUGUCACCGACUGAGCCCCCAGAUGCCCCGGAAUGUUACUUCUGAAAUGAAAUAGGUGACAGAUAUUGUAACUUCUGUUUUUCUGUUUCUCUCCCUCCCUCCUCUCCCUCCAUCCCCCUCCCUUCCACCUCCCCCACUUUCUCUCUCUCUCUCUCUCUCGCUCUCGCUCUCGCUCUCGCUCUCACUCUCAACUCUGCUUACCUGCCUGCCCCGAUGGAGAAGUCCACCUGGCAAGAAACCAAAUCCUGCCAACAUGCAUCGGGCCUACUUGAAGCUGAGCCUGCCCUGGUCACGCCUUCAGAUGAGACCACAACCCGGUUCCUCCUGGAAGGUGGCCUUGUGAGACCCUGAAGUGGGACGCUCAGGGCUCAACCUCCUGACCCUGAGAUUCAUGCACGACCCGAGUCAAAAAUCAAGAACCAGACGCUUCACCUACUGCACCCUCGGCUCAACUCUGUGACCACACCCUGCCCCUCCGCUUCUAGAAGCUUCCUGCACCCCUUGGACUUUGCUUCCGUGAUCGGUUCUUCUCAGACUCUGGUGCUCCCGCCUCCCUCCGGUAACAACCCUCAUGCUGCCCGGGGGAUCCACCCUCGCCUCCCCCGCUCCGGGCUCCUCAUUCGAUCCCAUCUGCAGAGGCCCUUUAGCCGCCAAAGCUUCAGGGGAUUAGGACUCCGAGGGGGAGGCUACAAGGAGACCUGGACACGGAUGCAUUCAUUCAAGCUUCAAACGCUUAUUGAGCGCCUCCUGUAUGCCAAGCUGCUCUGAGCAUUGGAGACACAGCGGGGAGCAAGGCAGUGGUUCUGGCCUUCGUGCAGCACAGAUUGUAGGGACAGGAAACACAACCGGCAGAGCGCAGUGUCUGUGGUUGGCUGUCAGCGAGGCUCGGCCUGGGAGGGUGACAGCUCGGCGCCCGGCCCUGGACACUGGCGGCAAGCCUUGCCCACAGUGCCACACGCGCCUGGUCUCACGAAGGGCAACUUCGAGGCUGCUCAGCGGGGCAUGAAAUAACCUCAAGGUCCAUCUGCGAAGACGCCCCUUAAAUGUCAUUUCCAUCCUUCUCAAGUCUCCUGUGGGGGUGGGGAUGGGGGGAAGCUGUGACCCCUCUCCCACCUGCCGACCCCGCCACCGGCCACAGGACCCGUGUCUGCAGCCCGCCGCAACCAG
Canis lupus familiaris (dog) is the source of this 1269-nucleotide long non-coding RNA. RefSeq lists it as uncharacterized. Lineage: Eukaryota; Metazoa; Chordata; Mammalia; Carnivora; Canidae. The record is from RefSeq and is a predicted model, not a curated record. The transcript has 3 exons.